Long non-coding RNA from Capsicum annuum, 1583 nucleotides. RefSeq lists it as uncharacterized. Lineage: Eukaryota; Viridiplantae; Streptophyta; Magnoliopsida; Solanales; Solanaceae. The transcript is spliced from 5 exons. The record is from RefSeq and is a predicted model, not a curated record.
GUUUUAAGCAGUGGUGGUGAUCUUUGGUUAUUUGUGCUGAAGGAAGAUACAUCAACUACCAACAUCAGAGACUUAAAGAAUCAUGAAUCAACAAGGGUGUUCGAGAAAUCAUCAAAAAGCUAAAAACUUUCUUUCAGCUGGAUCACUAGUAGUUCUACGAAACAAACAAAUACUAGAACAGAAGAAAAAAAAGAAGAAGAAGAAGAAGAAGAAGAAGAAGAAGAGCACAAGCUACAUAAAUGCAAAGGAAAAGAAUAAAACACAGAAGGAAAAGAAGAAGUCAAAAAAUGUUCCACCUAUAUCUAAAGUACCAGAACAAGUGCAACAGGUGCUAGCUAUACCUCAAGUAUCAGAACAAGUGCAACAGGUGUCUCCGGAUUCCGCCUUUCUAGCAACACCUAUAGAGGAGCAAGUGCGACAAUAAUUACCAGACUCCACCAUUCAUGCAUCACAACCCACAGUUGAACGAGUGCAGCAUAAUCAGUCACAACAUCCUAAUUUACAAGAAAAUGAACAAUCCACAGAAGACAAGCCCUUCAACUAAUAAAAGAAAAAGAGGAGCUACACAAAUGCAAGCAGUACAUGGACGGACUGACCGUCAAUUGAUAGUGCUAAAUGAGUUGAACCAGCCUAUUGGUCCAACUAAAGCAGUAGUCACUGAAUUUUCCAACUUUCUUGGAACAUUGGCAAGGAAUGGGACAUUUUAUACUCUUAAUCUCAGUUGGACAAAGUUGAAGACACACGAUGAUAUGUGGAGUUAUAUUCAGGUUCUAAGUUCUCAAUAUUUUGAUUUCUUCUGGAAUGCUUUUCACAGUUUUUACACUAAUCCAAUUCAACCAAAUUAUAGGAGAAAUAUGACAUUCCCAACAAGGGAAAAAAUUGGGCUAUGAGAUAAUUAAUGUUGCGUUUAGAGGUCAUAAGUCCAGACUCAAGAACUGUCACUUUUAUGCCUAUACCAAUGAUGAAAUUCGAAGGGCAAAAAGACCUAUCUCUAUUCCAGAACCUGUAUUUGAGGAUCUCCUUAAGCAUUGGCAUUCCGAAGAAGAUGAGGUUGAAAUGGAGAGAGUAGAGACUCAAGAAAGUAAAGUGGUACUCAAUCAACUGAUGCAUUCACCAUAGUUAUGGGGCCUGAUCAUCCUGGUCGAGUAAGACUACUCAGACGCGGUGUUACCAAGACUCUUUUGAAAUAGAAAGCAAGUGAUUCUGGAUCCUCUUUAAAACUUGAUGGACUGGUGGAGAAGAGAUUGGAUGAACUAGAAGAGAGGAUGCAACAAAGAAUGAAUGUUCAAAGAGAUGUCAUUGAGCGUGAAGUUACAAUGAAUAUCAUUGCACAACUUCAGUGUCUAAAUACAGGAUUAACACUUGAUCCUAAUAUGCUAGGAUUCAAUGUUCAUUCGUCAGGAUAAGCCCUUGCUAAUCAACUAAUAAACCGUCCAUCUGUUGGUAGUAAUAAUCAAGGUGUCCAAAAUGAAGAAAGAGGUGAAGAAAAUGACGAAGACAUUGAUCUUACUUGAGAAGAUUUUUGAGUUGUGGAUAAAUUCUCUAAUAUCAAUAGUUUUGUGUUGAAUUUUAUGAAACUUAUC